GCCGCCACGGCAUGGGCGAGCACCGCAAAGCGCUUCGUCUCGAUCGACGUAUAGCUGUAGAAGUAC
Molecule: small RNA, 66 nt
Filed under: Sinorhizobium meliloti 2011
Lineage: Bacteria; Pseudomonadati; Pseudomonadota; Alphaproteobacteria; Hyphomicrobiales; Rhizobiaceae
Description: putative ncRNA
Source: RNAcentral